This 234-nucleotide unclassified non-coding RNA is filed under the name plant metagenome. RNAcentral's name for it is "partial contains small subunit ribosomal RNA, internal transcribed spacer 1, and 5.8S ribosomal RNA". The record is from RNAcentral.
UCUCCGUUGGUGAACCAGCGGAGGGAUCAUUACCGAGUUAUUCUACUCCCAAACCCCUGUGAACUUAUACCCUUACUGUUUCUUCGGCGGGUAAACGCCCCCGAAGGCCCUCGAGUGCCGCCGGAACCAGGCGCCCGCCGGGGGACCCAAACUCUUGUAUCUUUUUUAUAGAAUGUAUGAGUGGAAGCACAAACAAAUGAAUCAAAACUUUCAACAACGGAUCUCUUGGUUCUG